Molecule: ribosomal RNA, 431 nt
Filed under: uncultured bacterium
Lineage: Bacteria
Description: partial 16S ribosomal RNA
Rfam family: Bacterial small subunit ribosomal RNA
Source: RNAcentral
AACGAACGCUGGCGGCAGGCUUAACACAUGCAAGUCGAGCGCCCCGCCAGGGGGGCGGCAGACUGGUGAGUAACGCGUGGGAACGUACCUUUUGGUUCGGAACAACUUCGGGAAACUGGAGCUAAUACCGGAUAAGCCCUAACGGGGAAAGAUUUAUCGCCGAAAGAUCGGCCCGCGUCUGAUUAGCUCGUUGGUGAGGUAACUGCUCACCAAGGCGACGAUCAAUAGCUGGUCUGAGAGGAUGAUCAGACACACUGGGACUGAGACACGGCCCAGACUCCUACGGGAGGCAGCAGUGGGGAAUACUGGAAAAUGGGCGCAAGCCUGAUCCAGCCAUGCCGGGUGAGUGAUGAAGGCCUUAGGGUUGUAAAGCUCUUUUGUCCGGGAAGAUAAUGACUGUACCGGAAGAAUAAGCCCCGGCUAACUUCGUG